UACGUAGGUGGCAAGCGUUGUCCGGAAUUAUUGGGCGUAAAGCGCGCGCAGGCGGUCUCCUAAGUCCGAUGUGAAAGCCCAUGGCUCAACCGUGGAGGGUCAUUGGAAACUGGGGGACUUGAGUGCAGGAGAGAAGAGUGGAAUUCCACGUGUAGCGGUGAAAUGCGUAGAGAUGUGGAGGAACACCAGUGGCGAAGGCGACUCUUUGGCCUGUAACUGACGCUCAUGCACGAAAGCGUGGGGAGCAAACAGG
This 253-nucleotide ribosomal RNA is filed under the name uncultured bacterium. Its description in RNAcentral is "partial 16S ribosomal RNA". It matches the Rfam family "Bacterial small subunit ribosomal RNA", at positions 524 to 776 of the family's 1533-position model. The record is from RNAcentral.